Molecule: long non-coding RNA, 224 nt
Filed under: Ananas comosus (pineapple)
Lineage: Eukaryota; Viridiplantae; Streptophyta; Magnoliopsida; Poales; Bromeliaceae
Description: long non-coding RNA (ACOM_LNC017610)
Source: RNAcentral
UUUUUCCAUCACCUCGGCACUGCUUAGUGCAUUGGCAUCGGGAGUCCAAGUCUCCUGGAUUGCCGCUCGUAGUACAGCUACUGCCAGCAGUUACGUUGCAACCGAAACAAUCUGGAUGAAGAUCCCAGUUGUGAGAGAAACCGCCGGAGAGCAGAGAAAUGUUGCCCUCAUUGCUACCUUCAUAAUCUCUAACAACAUACAAAAAUCCGGUGUUAUAAAAUCGG